CCUCGGAUCAGGUAGGGAUACCCGCUGAACUUAAGCAUAUCAAUAAGCGGAGGAAAAGAANCCAACAGGGAUUACCUCAGUAACGGCGAGUGAAGCGGUAACAGCUCAAAUUNGAAAGCUACCAACAGGUCGCAUUGUAAUUUGUAGAAGAUGCUUUGGGUGUUGGCCUAGUCUAAGUUCCUUGGAACAGGACGUCAUAGAGGGUGAGAAUCCCGUAUGUGAUUAGUGCCAUCCCCCGUGUAAAGCUCUUUCGACGAGUCGAGUUGUUUGGGAAUGCAGCUCAAAAUGGUUGGUAAAUUUCAUCUAAAGCUAAAUAUUGGCCAGAGACCGAUAGCGCACAAGUAGAGUGAUCGAAAGAUGAAAAGCACUUUGGAAAGAGAGUUAAACAGUACGUGAAAUUGUUGAAAGGGAAGCGCUUGCAAUCAGACUUGCGGGCGGUUGAUCAUCCGAGGUUCUCCCCGGUGCACUCGAUCGUCCUCAGGCCAGCAUCGGUUUCUGUGGUGGGAUAAAGGCUGUGAGAAUGUGGCUCUUCGGAGUGUUAUAGCUCACGGUGCAAUGCCGCCUACGGGGACCGAGGACCGCGCUUCGGCUAGGAUGCUGGCGUAAUGGUUGUAAGCGACC
Molecule: ribosomal RNA, 621 nt
Filed under: uncultured fungus
Lineage: Eukaryota; Fungi
Description: eukaryotic LSU rRNA
Rfam family: Eukaryotic large subunit ribosomal RNA
Source: RNAcentral